This 1880-nucleotide long non-coding RNA is filed under the name Neogobius melanostomus (round goby). RNAcentral describes it as "lncRNA (ENSNMLG00000019175.1)". The record is from RNAcentral. Lineage: Eukaryota; Metazoa; Chordata; Actinopteri; Gobiiformes; Gobiidae.
AUUUUUGUUUUUUAUUAUUUAGUCAUUAUCUGCAAUAUUAACAUUAUUUCAGAGUAACGAGGUCGGAGGCAGCUACCAUAUGGAGGGAGAGGGAUUGGCGAGAUCUUUGCAGCGGAUCAAGAACUUUGUGGCUGUUGACACUCUUAUCACUGAUAGGCACAUGUCCAUAAAGAAAUAUCUCUGUGAAAAACAUCCUGAUAUUGAACAUCUCUUCGACAUAUGGCACGUUGCUAAAGGUGAACAAGUAACUUUUAUUAUAAUGAGACAAGGCUCACAUGUAUGUUAUUCAUUUCAGGGCUCAAGAAAAAAUUGCAGGCUGCUGCCCAGUUGAAGGGCUGUAAUGCUUUGAAAGGUUGGGUGGCCAGCAUUGUAAAUCAUCUUUACUGGUCUGUUGUCUCGUCCCCUCCACAUGAACGCGAGCUGGUGCUGGACAAGUUCCAGUCAGUGGUGUAUCAUAUUCAAAAUCAACAUCAGGGAUUCCCUGGACGUUUCACCAGAUGCCUUCAUGGUCCUCUUCAGGGGCAGGAAUUGCAGAAAGCUUGGCUUCAACCUUGUAAUCUUUCACUCUCCUAAUGUUUGAAUAUAUUUAAAUAUAUGUUUAUUGAAAUAAGUGUCAUGUUAUGAGCUCCAAUUACAUGUCAUAUUAAUUGUAUUGUUCACUUCAGGUACAAAAGCUGCAAUGGAAAUGGAGAGGAUAGUUUGCACCCCAGACUUCUCAAGGAUAUUUGUCAACUUUCUUCUUCCUACCAAACAUCUACCAUUGAGGCAUUUCACAGUUUAUUGAACCACUUUGCUCCCAAGAUGAUCUCCUUUUCCUUCAAUGGAAUGGAAUGCAGGUAAACAGAUCUAUUAUUCACUGACGUUUGUAGUUGUCAUGUGUGUCACCGAAAAUGUUAUGUCUGUACACUUUAACAAAAUAUGUAUUCUUUUUCAGGACAACACUAGCAGCCCUUCACUUCAAUGAGAAUGCCCACAGAGCUCAGUCAGUGACGGAGGAUGGUGAACCAGUUUAUGGACUUCAUUAUCCCAAGUACAAGCAGGGUGGCUACAUCGUCAGGAAGGUCCUCGAGGAAGCAACCUAUGGUUAUGUGGAUGAUCUUCUGCAGAUUGUCAGAUCUAUUUGCCAAGACAAGAAUGAGAAUUUGGAUGAAGAUGCAGAGGUUUUAAUUGAGCAACCUAAAAGGCUGCCCCUGAGCUCACAAUGUGAAAAGCCCAGACAAGGACCAGGCUGUGAAGGGUCACAUAUCACGUUUCACCACAAGCAGAUGUUAACAUUUAUCAUCCACUCUACUCGAAAUCAGUCCCUCUAACUAUAAUUUUCAUCAAAUCGCACGGGGAGGCAGGAGAGGAUGGCAUUGCCAUAAAAAAAAAAAAAAUCAGGGCAGCAAACUACCUUGCCAUCUUUAAAACUAAACUAAAAAUGUAUUUUUAUCGUUUGGCUUUUAACUAAUCGCUUUUGUUUGAUCUGUACACCUGUUAUCUUACUCGCUUGCUGUUGUUUUAACUGUCCUUUUUCUUUAAUUGUUAUAAAUGUGAUUUUUUUUGAUGUCAUGUUUUACCAUUGGAAAGCACUUUGAUCUGCCCACCGGCUAGAAAGGUGCUCUAUAAAUACAUUAUUAUUAUAUGAAAAUCUCUGUUAUGAUUUUUGGUCAAUGCCUUUUUAUCUUGUUUACAAACUACAUUACAGCACAAUAAAAAAAAAAAACGCACAACUGCGUUUUAGCUCCCAAAAACUUUAAUGUGUACUCACCCCACGCUGUAACGUUUCGGACUACAAGUCCUUCAUCAGACAUCAUGAAUUGUAGUCCGAAACGUUACAGCGUGGUGUGAGUACACAUUAAAACGCUAAAACGCAGUUGUGCGGGUUUUAUUCUUCUUAC